UGACCUCAGAUCAGACAAGGAUACCCGCUGAACUUAAGCAUAUCAAUAAAGCGGAGGAAAAGAAACCAACAGGGAUUGCCUCAGUAACGGCNAGUAAUCGAGUUGUAAUUUGAAGAGGAAUCUUCCCGCACGGACCAUGAUCUAUGUUCCUUGGAACAGGACGUCGUAAGGGUGAGAAUCCCGUUCACGGUUGAUGGUCUCGAGUCAUGUGAAGUUCCCUCGAAGAGUCGAGUUGUUUGGGAAUGCAGCUCUAAAAGGGUGGUAAAUUUCAUCUAAAGCUAAAUACCGGCGAGAGACCGAUAGCGCACAAGUAGAGUGAUCGAAAGAUGAAAAGCACUUUGAAAAGAGAGUUAAACAGUACGUGAAAUUGUUGAAAGGGAAGCGCUUGCGACCAGACUCGCCUUUGAUCGAUCAACGUUCCUUCUGGUUCGUGCACUCGGUCUUUGGCGGGCCAGCAUUGGUUUGGGCGGAGGGACAAAGGCGUCGGGAAUGUGGCUGCCCUCGGGCAGUGUUAUAGCCCUUCGUGUAAUGCCUCCUGCCCGGACCGAGGACCGCGCUUCGGCUAGGAUGCUGGCGUAAUGGUCGUAAGCGACCCGUCUUGAAACACGGACCAAGGAGUCUAACAUCUAUGCGAGUGUUUGGGUGUCAAACCCAUACGCGUAAUGAAAGUGAACGGAGGUGGGAGCCCGCAAGGGUGCACCAUCGACCGAUCCUGAUGUCUUCGGAUGGAUUUGAGUAGGAGCAUAGCUGUUGGGACCCGAAAGAUGGUGAACUAUGCCUGAAUAGGGUGAAGCCAGAGGAAAACUCUGGUGGAGGCUCGCA
This 822-nucleotide ribosomal RNA is filed under the name Retiarius revayae. RNAcentral describes it as "eukaryotic LSU rRNA". It matches the Rfam family "Eukaryotic large subunit ribosomal RNA", at positions 1 to 879 of the family's 3401-position model. The record is from RNAcentral. Lineage: Eukaryota; Fungi; Ascomycota; Orbiliomycetes; Orbiliales; Orbiliaceae.